GAGGGCGACCCCCACUCUCAAAACCCUAACAACUUACUAAUCUCACAAACUGAAGGCUCAAACCAAGUUAAAAUCAAAAAUCGAGCAUGGAUUAUUGAUCCCCAUUGCAAGGGGGUUGUAAGGCGAGGAAUCCGGAUCGUCAAGUGGACAAGCCGGUGGAAAUACGCGUUUGAAAAGGGUGCUUAAAAAGGAAUAAAUAUCAAAUGGAUACGCACAUUGCUAUUGCUUAGCGGCUACUAAGUCAAGGUAUUGAAACGGGUCAAUAUAUUGAUCCGAGCCAGG
Helianthus annuus (common sunflower) is the source of this 282-nucleotide long non-coding RNA. RefSeq lists it as uncharacterized. The transcript is spliced from 3 exons. The record is from RefSeq and is a predicted model, not a curated record. Lineage: Eukaryota; Viridiplantae; Streptophyta; Magnoliopsida; Asterales; Asteraceae.